GGACGAACGCUGGCGGCGUGCCUAAUACAUGCACGUUGAGCGCUGAAGGUUGGUACUUGUACCAACUGGAUGAGCAGCGAACGGGUGAGUAACGCGUGGGGAAUCUGCCUUUGAGCGGGGGACAACAUUUGGAAACGAAUGCUAAUACCGCAUAAAAACUUUAAACACAAGUUUUAAGUUUGAAAGAUGCAAUUGCAUCACUCAAAGAUGAUCCCGCGUUGUAUUAGCUAGUUGGUGAGGUAAAGGCUCACCAAGGCGAUGAUACAUAGCCGACCUGAGAGGGUGAUCGGCCACAUUGGGACUGAGACACGGCCCAAACUCCUACGGGAGGCAGCAGUAGGGAAUCUUCGGCAAUGGACGAAAGUCUGACCGAGCAACGCCGCGUGAGUGAAGAAGGUUUUCGGAUCGUAAAACUCUGUUGGUAGAGAAGAACGUUGGUGAGAGUGGAAAGCUCAUCAAGUGACGGUAACUACACAGAAAGGGACGGCUAACUACGUG
Molecule: ribosomal RNA, 498 nt
Filed under: uncultured bacterium
Lineage: Bacteria
Description: partial 16S ribosomal RNA
Rfam family: Bacterial small subunit ribosomal RNA
Source: RNAcentral